RNAcentral lists this small RNA (54 nucleotides) under Fukomys damarensis (Damara mole-rat). RNAcentral describes it as "7SK RNA (ENSFDAG00000003099.1)". The record is from RNAcentral. Lineage: Eukaryota; Metazoa; Chordata; Mammalia; Rodentia; Bathyergidae.
UCUGUCACCCACUGAUCGCCUGGGUUGGUUAGCUGAUCUGGCUGGCUAGAUGGG